GGACAAGCUUUACAGGCACACGGUGGAUGCCUCGGCACCAGGAGCCGAUGAAGGACGUGGGAGGCUGCGAUAAGCCUGGGGGAGCUGCCAGCCGAGCUGUGAUCCCAGGAUCUCCGAAUGGGGAAACCCGGCCGGAGGGAAGUCCGGUCACCGCUGCCUGAACACAUAGGGCAGUCGGGGGGAACGCGGGGAAGUGAAACAUCUCAGUACCCGCAGGAAGAGAAAGCAAAAGCGAUUCCCGGAGUAGUGGCGAGCGAAACGGGAACACGGCUAAACCGAGCACGUGUCAAUAGCUGGCAGGCGUUGCGUGUUCGGGGUAGUGGGACCACCCAGUCGGGACUGCCAUCCCGACGGGAAGUUCCGUGUCGUUAGCCGAAGGUGCUGGAACGCACCAGCGAAGAGGGUGACACUCCCGUAGGCGAAAACGACCCGAACUUCCGGGUGGGAUCCCGAGUAGCACGGUACCCGUGGAAUUCCGUGUGAAUCCGCCAGGACCACCUGGUAAGCCUAAACACUCCCUGGUGACCGAUAGUGCAUGAGUACCGUGAGGGAAAGGUGAAAAGUACCCCGGGAGGGGAGUGAAAGAGUCCCUGAAACCGUGUGCCUACAAACCGUCAGAGCCUUCGGGUGAUGGCGUGCCUUUUGAAGAAUGAGCCUGCGAGUUGGGGUGUGUGGCGAGGUUAACCCGUCGAGGGGUAGCCGGAGCGAAAGCGAGUCUGAACAGGGCGUCGAGUCGCAUGCUCCAGACCCGAAGCGGGGUGAUCUACCCAUGGCCAGGGUGAAGCGCGGGUAAGACCGCGUGGAGGCCCGAACCCACCAGGGUUGAAAACCUGGGGGAUGAGCUGUGGGUAGGGGUGAAAGGCCAAUCAAACUCCGUGAUAGCUGGUUCUCCCCGAAAUGCAUUUAGGUGCAGCGUCACGUGUUGCUCAGGCGGGGUAGAGCUACUGGUUGGUUAAUGGGCCCUUCCCGGGUUACUGAGAUCAGCCAAACUCCGAAUACGCCUGAGUUCGAGCGUGGCAGUGAGACGAUGGGGGACAAGCUUCAUCGUCGAGAGGGAAACAGCCCAGAUCGCCGGCUAAGGUCCCCAAAUGCGCGCUUAGUGGGAAAGGAUGUGAAACCGCGCAGACAGCCAGGAGGUUGGCUUAGAAGCAGCCAUCCUUGAAAGAGUGCGUAAUAGCUCACUGGUCGAGUGGUUUUGCGCCGACAAUGUAGCGGGGCUCAAGCGCGCUACCGAAGCCGCGGCACUGCGUUUCGCAGUGGGUAGGGGAGCGUCGAGCGGGCAUUGAAGCGGUGGUGCAAACCAAUCGUGGAGCCCGUUCGAGUGAGAAUGCAGGCAUGAGUAGUGAAAGAGGAGUGAGAACCUCCUCCGCCGAAUGACCAAGGGUUCCAGGGGAAGGUCGUUCCGCCCUGGGUGAGUCGGAUCCUAAGGCGAGGCCGACAGGCGUAGCCGAUGGGCAACGGGUUGAUAUUCCCGUACCCGUGCAGAUGCGCUCACGGCGACCGCGGAUGCGCUAACUGCCCGGCGUGGUCUGGAAUUCGUUCCGGGCCGCGUCGCGUGGGACCCCGUCCGCCAGUAGCCGAGCGAUGGGGUGACGCAGAAGGGUAGCCCAACCCGGGCGAUGGUUGUCCCGGGGCAAGGGUGUAGGGCGGUGCGUAGGCAAAUCCGCGCACCACGUUCCUGAGACCUGAUGCCGAGCCUAAGCGGCGAAGUGGGUGAUCCCAUGCUGCCGAGAAAAGCCUCUAGCGAGUGUCUGCACGGUCCGUACCCGAAACCGACACAGGUGGUCAGGUAGAGAAUACCGAGGCGGACGGGUGAACCACGGUUAAGGAAUUCGGCAAAUUGCCCCCGUAACUUUGGGAGAAGGGGGGCCGGGUGGUGUGUACACCCUUCGCGGUGGAAGCACUGUCCGGCCGCAGAGGCCAGGCCCAAGCGACUGUUUACUAAAAACACAGGUCCAUGCGAAGCCGAAAGGCGAAGUAUAUGGACUGACGCCUGCCCGGUGCUGGAACGUUAAGGGGAGGGGUUAGCGGCUUCGGCCGUGAAGCUCUAAACCUAAGCGCCAGUAAACGGCGGUGGUAACUAUAACCAUCCUAAGGUAGCGAAAUUCCUUGUCGGGUAAGUUCCGACCUGCACGAAUGGCGUAACGACUUGGGCACUGUCUCAACCGUGGACCCGACGAAAUUGCACUACGAGUAAAGAUGCUCGUUUCGCGCGGCAGGACGGAAAGACCCCGGGACCUUUACUGCAGCUUGGCAUUGGCAUCUGGUUCGGCUUGUGUAGGAUAGGUGGGAGACUGGGAAGCCCGCACGCCAGUGUGGGUGGAGUCGCUGGUGAAAUACCACUCUGGUCGUACUGGGUGUCUAACCCAGGUCCGUGAUCCGGAUCGGGGACAGUGCCUGGUGGGCAGUUUAACUGGGGCGGUUGCCUCCUAAAAGGUAACGGAGGCGCCCAAAGGUUCCCUCAGCCUGGUUGGAAAUCAGGCGGUGAGUGUAAGGGCACAAGGGAGCUUGACUGUGAGACUGACGGGUCAAGCAGGUGCGAAAGCAGGGCCUAGUGAUCCGGCACUGGCUGGUGGAAGCGGUGUCGCUCAACGGAUAAAAGGUACCCCGGGGAUAACAGGCUGAUCUUGCCCAAGAGUCCAUAUCGACGGCAUGGUUUGGCACCUCGAUGUCGGCUCGUCGCAUCCUGGGGCUGGAGUCGGUCCCAAGGGUUGGGCUGUUCGCCCAUUAAAGCGGCACGCGAGCUGGGUUUAGAACGUCGUGAGACAGUUCGGUCCCUAUCCGCCGCGCGCGUAGGAGACUUGCGGGGAGCUGUCCCUAGUACGAGAGGACCGGGACGGACGAACCUCUGGUGUGCCAGUUGUCCUGCCAAGGGCACGGCUGGUUGGCCACGUUCGGAUCGGAUAACCGCUGAAAGCAUCUAAGCGGGAAGCCAGCCCCUAGAUGAGGUCUCCCUUCGGGUAACACCGAGUAAGGCCCCCAGCAGAUGACUGGGUUGAUAGGCCGGAAGUGGAAGCACGGCAACGUGUGGAGCUGACCGGUACUAAUAGGCCGAGCGGCUUGUCCAC
Molecule: non-coding RNA, 3068 nt
Organism: Saccharopolyspora rectivirgula
Lineage: Bacteria; Bacillati; Actinomycetota; Actinomycetes; Pseudonocardiales; Pseudonocardiaceae
Source: Rfam